Molecule: ribosomal RNA, 805 nt
Filed under: Novocrania sp. D1822
Lineage: Eukaryota; Metazoa; Brachiopoda; Craniata; Craniida; Craniidae
Description: LSU rRNA
Rfam family: Eukaryotic large subunit ribosomal RNA
Source: RNAcentral
GAAGAGAGAGUUCAAGAGUACGUGAAACCGUUUAGAGGCAAACGGGUGGAACCGUACAGUCUACCCGGGUGAUUCAAGGCGUCGAACGGCUGCGGGCGGCGAGUUCACGGAUCCGUAGGACCGGCUCGUCGUCCGGCGGUCGCCGGCGCCUGCACUUCACCCGGGGAGAGCGCCACGACCGGUUUGCCGGCGGUCACAAGCCCGCGAGGAAGGUAGCUCCCGCCCCUCGGGACGUGAGUGUUAAGCCUCGCGAGGCGUUGGCCCGCCGGUGGACCGAGGAUUUCCCGCCGCACCCGCCCGAUGGCUCGGGCGUCCGUCCCGUUCGGUGCGUUCGACUUGCGAGGACUGACCUCAGUGCUCGCAGACCGCGUGCCGUCCGGGCUCGGUGCCGCUCCCGAGCAGGUGCCUAGGGUCUGUGGCGAAUCGGUCGGCCCUCCACCCGACCCGUCUUGAAACACGGACCAAGGAGUCUAACAUGUGCGCGAGUCAUGGGGUUCUACGAAACCUAAAGGCGCAAUGAAGGUGAAGGCUGCCUUUCGGUAGCCGAGGUGGGAUCCCGGUCACCGAGACCGGGCGCACCACUGGCCCGUCUCGUCUGCAUCGUCAGUGAGGCGGCGCAAGAGCGUACACGUUGGGACCCGAAAGAUGGUGAACUAUGCCUGAGUAGGACGAAGCCAGAGGAAACUCUGGUGGAAGUCCGUAGCGAUUCUGACGUGCAAAUCGAUCGUCAAACUUGGGUAUAGGGGCGAAAGACUAAUCGAACCAUCUAGUAGCUGGUUCCCUCCGAAGUUUCCCUCAGGAUAGC